CAAAGGAGUGGGGGUCAUCAAGAAGAAGAGGAGGAGGGGGUGGCUUUCUGAUCUCAGGUGCUUUACCUGACGCAGCUCACAGCAUCCUCGCAAGGCAUCUCUCUCUGAUGCCCAUUAUCGCCAGUAAACACCGAUGACUCCCAGAUCUACAGCUCCAGGCUGUUCCCUUCUCCGUGUCUCAUAUCAGCUUUGCCAACUGUUUAUUGGACAUCACCGCCUGAGUAUCCCUGAGGGACACGAUUAUCCUGUUUGGAGUGUAUUGAACUUCUUGGAUACAUCGAUUAGUGUCUUUCCUCAAGUUUGAGUAAUUUGCAGUCAUUUUUCCUUUGAAAAUUCUUUCUUCUCUAUUCUGUUUCUCUCCUUGUUGAACCCCCAUCAUGCAUAGGUGUGCUCUGUUCAUUUUUCACAUUACUUUUAUUUUUCUGCUCCUCGGACUGAAUAAUCUCAAUUGACCUAUUUUAAGUUCACUGAUUCUUUUGCCUGCCCAAACCUACUGUUGUACCCCUCUAGUGACUUUUAGUUAUUGUACUUUUCAAAUAAAGA
Molecule: long non-coding RNA, 543 nt
Filed under: Homo sapiens (human)
Lineage: Eukaryota; Metazoa; Chordata; Mammalia; Primates; Hominidae
Description: HSALNT0408293
Source: RNAcentral